AUGAGGACUACUGUGUCAGGUAGCACAGUCUCCACAGCUGCCACUACAGGAGCCACCACCACUGCCAUGACGAGGGCCACCACCACUGCCACGACGGGGACUACCACUGCCACUGUUGCCACAUCUCCAGUCACUGACACCUCAACAUCUGAAUCUUCGACUGUAGUUGAUGAGGUCUCUUCUGAAUCAGCUAUUGACAGUACUACUUUCCCUGCAACAGAUGAAUCAACUUCACCAGGAACUGAAGUCACCACCCCAGCUAUUGAAGCAUCAACCUCUGAGCCUGAUGCCUCAACCUCAGCAGAUGAGUCCACCACUGGAGUUGUGGAAGCCACCACUGCUACUAUAGGAGCCACCACCAUUACCACCACAGGAGGCACUACUACUGCCACUACAGGAGCCACCACUACCACUGUGGGAGAUACCACCACUGCCACUAUGGGAGCCACAACCACUGAAGCCACUGCAUUGACCACUGAGGAUAACACUGUCGCAUCAUCCCCUGAAGCAACAACUUCCGUGGAUGCAAUCACUACUGAAUUGGCUAUAGAGGGUACCACUCUCCCUGUAACAGAUGAAACAACUUCACUAGCGACUGAUGUCACUACCUCAGAUGUUGAUGGCUCCACCCCAGCAGAAGAAUCCACCUCCCCUCCCACAGGAGCCACAGCCACGCUGGGCACUGCUGCUACCACUUCUGCAGAGACCACAAGUGCAGCAGACUCUACCACAACAGCUUCUGAGGCCACCAGCACAUCAGUGGACACCACAGUCUCUAUCACAGAUGUCACCAACACUACUACCAAUGCUGCCAGCACAGGGGCCACAACUUUGGGCACAGAAGCCACCUCUUCAGGUGCCACCGAUGCUAUCACCUCCACAGAAGAUGUCACCACCGAAGGGGCUGCCACUGCAGAGAGUGGUACCAGCCCUGACCAGAGCUCGACAGCAGAUACAGCUACCAGUUCUGCAGUGAAUACCACCGCUGUAGAGGGAAACCCUUGA
This 1005-nucleotide long non-coding RNA is filed under the name Phascolarctos cinereus (koala). Its description in RNAcentral is "lncRNA (ENSPCIG00000008206.2)". Lineage: Eukaryota; Metazoa; Chordata; Mammalia; Diprotodontia; Phascolarctidae. The record is from RNAcentral.